RNAcentral lists this transfer RNA (65 nucleotides) under Chtenopteryx sicula. RNAcentral's name for it is "tRNA-Thr". It matches the Rfam family "tRNA". Rfam says of the family: Transfer RNA (tRNA) molecules are approximately 80 nucleotides in length. Their secondary structure includes four short double-helical elements and three loops (D, anti-codon, and T loops). The record is from RNAcentral. Lineage: Eukaryota; Metazoa; Mollusca; Cephalopoda; Oegopsida; Chtenopterygidae.
GUUAUAAUAGUUUAAAAUAAAACCUUGGUUUUGUAAACCAAAAUUAGAUAUAAAUCUUUAUAACU